This 229-nucleotide ribosomal RNA is filed under the name uncultured bacterium. RNAcentral describes it as "partial 16S ribosomal RNA". It matches the Rfam family "Bacterial small subunit ribosomal RNA", at positions 568 to 796 of the family's 1533-position model. The record is from RNAcentral.
UACGUAGGCGGAAUGCCGAGUAUCUUGUGAAAUCCCUCGGCUCAACCGAGGAAUUGCAGGGUAAACUGGCAUUCUUGAGGCAGGUAGAGGUAACUGGAACUCAUGGUGGAGCGGUGGAAUGCGUAGAUAUCAUGGGGAACGCCAAAGGUGAAGACAAGUUACUGGGCCUGUCCUGACGCUGAGGUACGAAAGCGUGGGUAGCAAACAGGAUUAGAUACCCUGGUAGUCC